UACCAGCACCCCGAGUGGUCGGGACGUUUAUUGGGCCUAAAGCAUCCGUAGCCGGUUCUACAAGUCUUCCGUUAAAUCCAACUGCUUAACAGGUGGGCUGCGGAAGAUACUAUAGAGCUAGGAGGCGGGGGAGGCAAGCGGUACUCGAUGGGUAGGGGUAAAAUCCGUUGAUCCAUUGAAGAACACCAGUUGCGAAGGCGGCUGGCUGGGUCCACAUUGACGCUGAGGCUCGAAAGCGUGGGGAGCAAACAGG
This 253-nucleotide ribosomal RNA is filed under the name uncultured bacterium. Its description in RNAcentral is "partial 16S ribosomal RNA". It matches the Rfam family "Archaeal small subunit ribosomal RNA", at positions 474 to 727 of the family's 1478-position model. The record is from RNAcentral.